GCUUUCUUCUUCUGGCCCUUUCCCUCGAAUUGGUGUCAGUCAAUCAUGGCUUCCUUGGUGCGGAUGUACUUCUGUGCAUGCUCAAAGAAUUCGAUGUAGGAUCAAGGAAGUGUCUUAUCCAAAGAGUAGGUGAACUUAGACUUCCAGAGUCCCCACUUCAUCGCUGCAAUGGCUGUUGCCUGAUCGAGGUCUUUGACCUCUAGGGUGGCAGUGUUGAAACAUGCUACAAACUCUCGCAAAGAUUUUUCAUCUUGCUGAUGGAUAGAGAAA
This 270-nucleotide long non-coding RNA is filed under the name Elaeis guineensis (African oil palm). RNAcentral's name for it is "long non-coding RNA (EGUI_LNC017064)". Lineage: Eukaryota; Viridiplantae; Streptophyta; Magnoliopsida; Arecales; Arecaceae. The record is from RNAcentral.